UACGUAGGUGGCAAGCGUUGUCCGGAUUUAUUGGGCGUAAAGCGAGCGCAGGCGGUUCCUUAAGUCUGAUGUGAAAGCCCCCGGCUCAACCGGGGAGGGUCAUUGGAAACUGGGGAACUUGAGUGCAGAAGAGGAGAGUGGAAUUCCAUGUGUAGCGGUGAAAUGCUUAGAUAUAUGGAGGAACACCAGUGGCGAAGGCGGCUCUCUGGUCUUUAUCUGACGCUGAGGCUCGUAAGCGUGGGUAGCAAACAGG
Molecule: ribosomal RNA, 253 nt
Filed under: uncultured bacterium
Lineage: Bacteria
Description: partial 16S ribosomal RNA
Rfam family: Bacterial small subunit ribosomal RNA
Source: RNAcentral